AUACGUAGGUGGCAAGCGUUGUCCGGAAUUACUGGGCGUAAAGCGUGCGUAGGUGGUUGUUUAAGUCUGUCGUGAAAGCCCUGGGCUCAACCUGGGAAUGGCGAUGGAAACUGGGCGACUAGAGUGUGGCAGAGGGUAGUGGAAUUCCUGGUGUAGCAGUGAAAUGCGUAGAGAUCAGGAGGAACAUCCGUGGCGAAGGCGACUGCCUGGGCCAACACUGACACUGAGGCACGAAAGCGUGGGGAGCAAACAGGAUUAGAUACCCUGGUAGUCCACGCCCUAAACGAUGCGAACUGGAUGUUGGGUGCAAUUUGGCACGCAGUAUCGAAGCUAACGCGUUAAGUUCGCCGCCGGGGGAGUACGGUCGCAAGACUGAAACUCAAAGGAAUUGACGGGG
This 397-nucleotide ribosomal RNA is filed under the name uncultured bacterium. RNAcentral's name for it is "partial 16S ribosomal RNA". It matches the Rfam family "Bacterial small subunit ribosomal RNA", at positions 523 to 918 of the family's 1533-position model. The record is from RNAcentral.